RNAcentral lists this ribosomal RNA (229 nucleotides) under uncultured bacterium. RNAcentral's name for it is "partial 16S ribosomal RNA". It matches the Rfam family "Bacterial small subunit ribosomal RNA", at positions 568 to 796 of the family's 1533-position model. The record is from RNAcentral.
UGCGUAGGCGGAAUAUUAAGUCAGUGGUGAAAUCCUGCGGCUCAACCGUAGAACUGCCAUUGAUACUGAUAUUCUUGAAUGUAGUUGAGGUGGGCGGAAUGUGUAAUGUAGCGGUGAAAUGCUUAGAUAUUACACAGAACACCGAUUGCGAAGGCAGCUUACUAAACUAUGAUUGACGCUGAGGCACGAAAGCGUGGGGAGCGAACAGGAUUAGAUACCCUGGUAGUCC